This 383-nucleotide long non-coding RNA is filed under the name Homo sapiens (human). Its description in RNAcentral is "HSALNT0358701". Lineage: Eukaryota; Metazoa; Chordata; Mammalia; Primates; Hominidae. The record is from RNAcentral.
GUCCAUUCUGGUCUUCCUGGAGCUGUCCCACACUGGCAUCAUUCUCAGAAUGGACUCGCAGGAAAAGUCCAUUCUGGAGUCAGGGAAUUCCUGGCAGGGUGCGGAGGCUCACUCACUGAGAGAAGCCCAGAGCGCAUUCAGUAAGCCUUGCAAAGUGUUUCUACAUCUGGAACACAUGCUCUGAGGAUGAAGGAUACAUUUGGAAAAUGCUGCAGGACUUCUCAGUGCCUGCAUCAUUGAAGUGUACGCUGGGAACCUGUGAGACCCGGGCAGAGUAUGCAACAUCUCCCAAAAUUGCUGCACCAUGGAACACUUUUUUUUUUUUUUUUUGCAGGACAUCUCUCAGGGCCAACGUUUUGGAAAUUAUAUUUUGAAACAAAAAU